RNAcentral lists this ribosomal RNA (254 nucleotides) under uncultured bacterium. RNAcentral describes it as "partial 16S ribosomal RNA". It matches the Rfam family "Bacterial small subunit ribosomal RNA", at positions 524 to 776 of the family's 1533-position model. The record is from RNAcentral.
UACGUAGGGGGCAAGCGUUGUCCGGAUUUAUUGGGCGUAAAGGGCGCGUAGGCGGCCACCGCAAGUCGACUGUGAAAUCUCCGGGCUUAACCCGGAAAGGUCAGCCGAUACUGCGGGGCUAGAGUGCAGAAGGGGCAACUGGAAUUCUCGGUGUAGCGGUGAAAUGCGUAGAUAUCGAGAGGAACACCUGCGGCGAAGGCGGGUUGCUGGGCCGACACUGACGCUGAUGCGCGAAAGCCAGGGGAGCGAACGGG